UUUGAGGCCUCGGCCGAGAUGGCCGGCGAGUCCCGGUGGUGAAGCCGUCAGCCCCCAGGCCGCGGACACGUGGAGCGUCUCCAGCACCGCAGCCUUCUGACCCCACAUCCCGCUGCGGGCGGCUCCCGCAUCCGCAACAACUGACUCACCCUGGUGGGGCCUCCAAGUGUGGGAUCCUGCUGGUCUGGCCCUGGUUCUUGAGACAGUCGUCCUGGGACAGCCACUACUGCAUCGGUACAAGUGUGCAGCCAGCGAGAUGAGAAGCAGCAGCGUCACAGCCCCUAAGAGGGCCCACAAUCCCCAGGCCUGGGGGAAGGAGGGAAUUCCUGUGGAUGUAGAGGGGUGGGUAUUACUGCCCAGCCCAACCCUCCAGAUCCCAGCAGAUGGGACAUGGGGCCCCGUGACCCCUCCCCCUGUCCCCGCCCCGCCCCGCUUACCGGGCCCUAGCUGAUCCGUGCAGUUGGCACCGCUGCUCAUGACUAUUGAUGUGGGAGCCAAGUCUGCAGGCCUGAGCCUGGGCGUGAGCCUGGCUUAUGGUCUGACAGCUGCAGCAGCCCCCUUACUCCCACCCCUCCCGGCCUGGCCCCCACAGCUCAUCAUCCCCAAUACUGGUGGUGGCAAAGUCACUGGUUUCCGGGGAGGAAGGGGGAGGGGAGGGAUGAGUGAAAGAACUGACACCGCCCAGUGCCUGCACCUGCGCCACCCAGCAACUCCUGAACUUCCGCAACUCCUCACCUCACACCCCCCUCGCCCUUGGCCCUCUACCCCCUUUGGCCAGAGAAGAGAGAAGAAGGCCUGUGCUACUGUGUAGCUGAGCCCAUGAAGACUCCAGGGGGGGCAGAAGUGGCAUGAGGUAGGACCCACAAGACAAGGAAGCCAGGCUUUAUGACAGAGAUUCCCUUAUGCCACAGGGUACCUGACUUUUCUCUCCAGUUCUGAGUCUCGUGAGGAGAAUGUGCUUCUGGAUGAACAUGUUAUAACAUGGAAUGGGAUUGGGAGGUCUCCUGCCGCGCUGAGAAUGAGCCCCGUGUGGUUAGUGCGCCCAGACGCACCGCCUGCGUAACUAGAGGAGAUGACGGAUGACGACCCCAGCCGCACACCGCUCAGCUCCCCCGCCUAACGGGUUCGCUUCUUGGCGGAUUGACAGAGAAGCGGGGGAGGUCUACGUGCAUGCGCACGCGGCACUCUCUGCCGGAGAUCCGGGGACUUUCCCCUAGGCGCAAAUGAGGAACCGAGUCCUCCGUCUGUAGCCUAGGCAACAGGCCUUCAGCGCGAACUACAACUAAAACUUGGGCUUCGCGGCCUAUUUAUAGGUCCAGCAGAAAUUCUACCUUUCGGUUAGGGCGAGAAAAUUGAUG
This is a long non-coding RNA of Myotis daubentonii (Daubenton's bat), 1358 nucleotides long. RefSeq lists it as uncharacterized. Lineage: Eukaryota; Metazoa; Chordata; Mammalia; Chiroptera; Vespertilionidae. The transcript has 4 exons. The record is from RefSeq and is a predicted model, not a curated record.